AGAGUUUGAUCCUGGCUCAGAGCGAACGCUGGCGGCAGGCCUAACACAUGCAAGUCGAGCGCCGUAGCAAUACGGAGCGGCAGACGGGAGAGUAACACGUGGGAACGUGCCCUUCAGUUCGGAACAACCCAGGGAAACUUGGGCUAAUACCGGAUACGUCCGUAAGGAGAAAGAUUUAUCGCUGAAGGAUCGGCCCGCGUCUGAUUAGCUAGUUGGUGGGGUAACGGCCCACCAAGGCGACGAUCAGUAGCUGGUCUGAGAGGAUGAUCAGCCUCACUGGGACUGAGACACGGCCCAGACUCCUACGGGAGGCAGCAGUGGGGAAUAUUGGACAAUGGGCGCAAGCCUGAUCCAGCCAUGCCGCGUGGGUGAUGAAGGCCCUAGGGUUGUAAAGCCCUUUCGGCGGGGAAGAUAAUGACGGUACCCGCAGAAGAAGCCCCGGCUAACUUCGUGCCAGCCGCCGCGGUAAUAC
Molecule: ribosomal RNA, 472 nt
Filed under: uncultured bacterium
Lineage: Bacteria
Description: bacterial SSU rRNA
Rfam family: Bacterial small subunit ribosomal RNA
Source: RNAcentral